RNAcentral lists this long non-coding RNA (1076 nucleotides) under Ananas comosus (pineapple). Its description in RNAcentral is "long non-coding RNA (ACOM_LNC003858)". Lineage: Eukaryota; Viridiplantae; Streptophyta; Magnoliopsida; Poales; Bromeliaceae. The record is from RNAcentral.
CUUUGAACCUCAAUCAAUUGCUCCAACAUUGGAGUUCCACUCUUAUACUUUAAAUUUAGUAAUUUUCUAAUAAGAAAUGCCUUAUUUUCAGUGGUUUUUCUAGCUCACAAAGUUUUUUCCGCAAACACGAGGGCCUGGUUGUUUCGCCGAAACUAGAGUUUGGGUUGAAAUAGACUUUGAAUUGAAGGUCACAUGAAAACUACUUCUUCACCGUUUUGUUUCCAUAAUUAUGAAAGUGAAGUUUCUUCAGCUCUGUUGCUUAUAUAGUAGAAAGUGAAUGAUAUAAACUGUAAUUUAUAUAUAUAUAAUAAAUAACUUAAUAAAUAAUAAUUUAUAAUAUAAUAAAUAAAAUAAUAUAAUUAUAUUCCUAUAUAAUUAAAAAAAUUAAUCUAAAACAACUAAAUUAUUUUUUUAGACAUAAAUUAUAAUAGGGGCAAUUGUUUAUACACCCCUGAAAAGUUUCCGACUUUCUGAUUUACCCUUUUUAGAAUGCUAAUAUUAAAAAUACCCUUUUUACGUUCCUACCUAUUUCAAAUAUACCCUUAGAGUUAAAAUCUAUUAAUGAAUUCUGCUAUCUAUAUAAAAUUACUAUUUUGUCCUUUCAAAUAUAUCCUUCCACCAUCACCGAUUUUUCUUAUUUGCCCUUAAGUCAGGGGUACAAAAAAUAUUUUGUCUUUUGAUCUUUUCAAAUAUACCCCUCUACCAUCACCAAUAUUUCUUAUUUGCCUUAAGUUAAUGGCAAAAAUUCGUAUUUUAAUUUUUUUUAACUGUGGUAGAUAUUUAACUUACAUUUAACCCAAGUUAACUGAACAAGGGAUAAUUGUAGGGGUAUUUUGCAAUAAUGGUGGAACAUAUGAGGGGUAUUUUAGAAAGAAAAAAAGAGUAGGGGUAAAUCGAAUAUUUUCAAACGUGUGAGGGGUAUAUAGGCAAUUAUCCCAUUAUAAUAAUAUAAAACAAAAUUCUAAAGUAAAAAAAUAUAUAUAAUACUUAACUAAUUAAUUUUCAUCAUAUUUUAAAUGUACAAACUAAAUGAAGUAAAUAGUAAAACUUAACUAAUCAAUUUUUUUCCUAUUUUA